Molecule: ribosomal RNA, 389 nt
Filed under: uncultured Methanosaeta sp.
Lineage: Archaea; Methanobacteriati; Methanobacteriota; Methanomicrobia; Methanotrichales; Methanotrichaceae
Description: bacterial SSU rRNA
Rfam family: Archaeal small subunit ribosomal RNA
Source: RNAcentral
AAGGUCAGGCUGAAGACCUUACCGGAUUAGCUGAGAGGUGGUGCAUGGCCGUCGUCAGUUCGUACUGUGAAGCAUCCUGUUAAGUCAGGCAACGAGCGAGACCCACGUCCACAGUUGCCAGCAUACCCUCCGGGGUGAUGGGUACACUGUGGAGACCGCCGCUGCUAAAGCGGAGGAAGGAAUGGGCAACGGUAGGUCAGUAUGCCCCGAAUCUCCCGGGCUACACGCGGGCUACAAUGGUUGGUACAAUGGGCAUCUACCCCGAAAGGGGACGGGAAUCUCCUAAAACCAAUCUUAGUUCGGAUUGAGGGCUGCAACUCGCCCUCAUGAAGCUGGAAUCCGUAGUAAUCGCGUUUCAACAGAACGCGGUGAAUACGUCCCUGCUCCUU